AUUGAACGCUGGCGGCAUGCCUUACACAUGCAAGUCGAGCGGGCAGCGCGGGGGCAACCCUGGCGGCGAGCGGCGAACGGGUGAGUAAUACAUCGGAACGUGUCCAGUAGCGGGGGAUAACCUGUCGAAAGAUAGGCUAAUACCGCAUACGAUCCACGGAUGAAAGCGGGGGACCCAAGGGCAACCGAGGGCCUCGCACUAUUGGAGCGGCCGAUGUCGGAUUAGCAGUUGGCGGGGUAAAAGCCCACCAAGGCGACGAUCCGUAGCUGGUCUGAGGAGGACGA
RNAcentral lists this ribosomal RNA (284 nucleotides) under uncultured bacterium. RNAcentral describes it as "partial 16S ribosomal RNA". It matches the Rfam family "Bacterial small subunit ribosomal RNA", at positions 29 to 303 of the family's 1533-position model. The record is from RNAcentral.